GGGGUACCGUUUAUCCGGAAUAUUCGGGCGUAAGGGCUCGCAGGCGGUUUCUUAAGUCUGAUGUGAAAGCCCCCGGCUCAACCGGGGAGGGUCAUUGGAAACUGGGGAACUUGAGUGCAGAAGAGGAGAGUGGAAUUCCACGUGUAGCGGUGAAAUGCGUAGAGAUGUGGAGGAACACCAGUGGCGAAGGCGACUCUCUGGUCUGUAACUGACGCUGAGGAGCGAAAGCGUGGGGAGCGAACAGGAUUAGAUACCCUGGUAGUCCACGCCGUAAACGAUGAGUGCUAAGUGUUAGGGGGUUUCCGCCCCUUAGUGCUGCAGCUAACGCAUUAAGCACUCCGCCUGGGGAGUACGGUCGCAAGACUGAAACUCAAAGGAAUUGACGGGGGCCCGCACAAGCGGUGGAGCAUGUGGUUUAAUUCGAAGCAACGCGAAGAACCUUACCAGGUCUUGACAUCCUCUGACAAUCCUAGAGAUAGGACGUCCCCUUCGGGGGCAGAGUGACAGGUGGUGCAUGGUUGUCGUCAGCUCGUGUCGUGAGAUGUUGGGUUAAGUCCCGCAACGAGCGCAACCCUUGAUCUUAGUUGCCAGCAUUCAGUUGGGCACUCUAAGGUGACUGCCGGUGACAAACCGGAGGAAGGUGGGGAUGACGUCAAAUCAUCAUGCCCCUUAUGACCUGGGCUACACACGUGCUACAAUGGACAGAACAAAGGGCAGCGAAACCGCGAGGUUAAGCCAAUCCCACAAAUCUGUUCUCAGUUCGGAUCGCAGUCUGCAACUCGACUGCGUGAAGCUGGAAUCGCUAGUAAUCGCGGAUCAGCAUGCCGCGGUUGAAAUACGUUCCCCGGGCCUUGUACACACCGCCCGUCACACCACGAGAGUUUGUAACACCCGAAGUCGGUGAGGUAACCUUUUAGGAGCCAGCCGCCGAAGGUGGGACAGAUGAUUGGGGUGAAUCUAGAAAAAACCCCCCCCCACAGAUAUAAAAGGGU
This 992-nucleotide ribosomal RNA is filed under the name Bacillus subtilis. RNAcentral's name for it is "bacterial SSU rRNA". It matches the Rfam family "Bacterial small subunit ribosomal RNA", at positions 531 to 1533 of the family's 1533-position model. The record is from RNAcentral. Lineage: Bacteria; Bacillati; Bacillota; Bacilli; Caryophanales; Bacillaceae.